CUACGGGACGCACCAGUGGGGAAUAUUGCACAAUGGGCGCAAGCCUGAUGCAGCCAUGCCGCGUGUAUGAAGAAGGCCUUCGGGUUGUAAAGUACUUUCAGCGGGGAGGAAGGGAGUAAAGUUAAUACCUUUGCUCAUUGACGUUACCCGCAGAAGAAGCACCGGCUAACUCCGUGCCAGCAGCCGCGGUAAUACGGAGGGUGCAAGCGUUAAUCGGAAUUACUGGGCGUAAAGCGCACGCAGGCGGUUUGUUAAGUCAGAUGUGAAAUCCCCGGGCUCAACCUGGGAACUACAUCUGAUACUGGCAAGCUAGAGUCUCGUAGAGGGGGGUAGAAUUCCAGGUGUAGCGGUGAAAUGCGUAGAGAUCUGGAGGAAUACCGGUGGCGAAGGCGGCCCCCUGGACGAAGACUGACGCUCAGGUGCGAAAGCGUGGGGAGCAAACAGGAUUAGAUACCCUAGUAGUC
RNAcentral lists this ribosomal RNA (464 nucleotides) under uncultured bacterium. RNAcentral's name for it is "partial 16S ribosomal RNA". It matches the Rfam family "Bacterial small subunit ribosomal RNA", at positions 339 to 795 of the family's 1533-position model. The record is from RNAcentral.